RNAcentral lists this ribosomal RNA (253 nucleotides) under uncultured bacterium. RNAcentral describes it as "partial 16S ribosomal RNA". It matches the Rfam family "Bacterial small subunit ribosomal RNA", at positions 524 to 776 of the family's 1533-position model. The record is from RNAcentral.
UACGAAGGGGGCUAGCGUUGCUCGGAAUCACUGGGCGUAAAGGGUGCGUAGGCGGGUUUUUAAGUCGGGGGUGAAAUCCUGGAGCUCAACUCCAGAACUGCCUUCGAUACUGGGAGUCUUGAGUUCGGGAGAGGUGAGUGGAACUGCGAGUGUAGAGGUGAUAUUCGUAGAUAUUCGCAAGAACACCAGUGGCGAAGGCGGCUCACUGGCCCGAUACUGACGCUGAGGUGCGAAAGCGUGGGGAGCAAACAGG